GCGCGGGUGGCGGAACUGGCAGACGCGUACGUUUGAGGGGCGUAUGCCGCAAGGCGUGAGGGUUCGAGUCCCUCCCCGCGCA
This 82-nucleotide transfer RNA is filed under the name Elusimicrobiota bacterium. RNAcentral's name for it is "Elusimicrobia bacterium (groundwater metagenome) tRNA-Leu". It matches the Rfam family "tRNA". Rfam says of the family: Transfer RNA (tRNA) molecules are approximately 80 nucleotides in length. Lineage: Bacteria; Pseudomonadati; Elusimicrobiota. The record is from RNAcentral.